RNAcentral lists this ribosomal RNA (433 nucleotides) under uncultured bacterium. RNAcentral's name for it is "partial 16S ribosomal RNA". It matches the Rfam family "Bacterial small subunit ribosomal RNA", at positions 29 to 507 of the family's 1533-position model. The record is from RNAcentral.
AACGAACGCUGGCGGCAUGCCUAACACAUGCAAGUCGAACGAUACCAUCGGGUGCUGUCGCGCACCGGUGCGUAACGCGUGGGAACCUGCCCUUAGGUUCGGAAUAACUCCCCGAAAGGGGUGCUAAUACCGGAUCAUGUCUUCGGACCAAAGAUUUAUGGCCUUUGGUUGGGCCCGCGUUGGAUUCGCCAGUCGGUAGCGUAAAAGCCUACCAAGGCGACGAUCCCUAGCUGGUCUGAGAGCAUGGUCCGCCACACUGGGGGUGAGACCCGGCCCGGACUCUUGCGGAAGGGGGGAAUGCGGAAUAUUGGACGGCGGGCGAAGGCCUGAUGCAGUCAGGCCGCGAAAGUGAUGUUGGCAUUAAGGAUGAAAAGCUGUUUUACCCGGGAUGAUAAUGACGGUACCGGAAGAAUAAGCUCCGGCUAACUCCGUG